UACGAAGGUGGCUAGCGUUGUUCGGAUUUAUUGGGCGUAAAGGGUCCGCAGGCGGUUUGGAUAGUCAGAUGUGAAAUUUCACAGCUCAACUGUGAGCACGCAUUUGAAACUUCCAGACUAGAGUAUGAGAGGGGUAAAAGGAAUUUCUAGUGUAGGGGUGAAAUCCGUAGAUAUUAGAAAGAACACCGGCCGCGAAGGCGUUUUACUGGCUCAUUACUGACGCUCAUGGACGAAAGCCAGGGGAGCAAACGGG
RNAcentral lists this ribosomal RNA (253 nucleotides) under uncultured bacterium. RNAcentral describes it as "partial 16S ribosomal RNA". It matches the Rfam family "Bacterial small subunit ribosomal RNA", at positions 524 to 776 of the family's 1533-position model. The record is from RNAcentral.